This 474-nucleotide ribosomal RNA is filed under the name uncultured organism. RNAcentral describes it as "partial 16S ribosomal RNA". It matches the Rfam family "Bacterial small subunit ribosomal RNA", at positions 335 to 800 of the family's 1533-position model. The record is from RNAcentral.
ACUCCUGCGGGAGGCAGCAGUGGGGAAUUUUGGACAAUAGGCGAAAGCCUGAUCCAGCAAUGCCGCGUGAGUGAAGAAGGCCUUCGGGUUGUAAAGCUCUUUUGUCAGGGAAGAAACGGUGAGAGCUAAUAUCUCUUGCUAAUGACGGUACCUGAAGAAUAAGCACCGGCUAACUACGUGCCAGCAGCCGCGGUAAUACGUAGGGUGCAAGCGUUAAUCGGAAUUACUGGGCGUAAAGCGUGCGCAGGCGGUUUUGUAAGUCUGAUGUGAAAUCCCCGGGCUCAACCUGGGAAUUGCAUUGGAGACUGCAAGGCUAGAAUCUGGCAGAGGGGGGUAGAAUUCCACGUGUAGCAGUGAAAUGCGUAGAUAUGUGGAGGAACACCGAUGGCGAAGGCAGCCCCCUGGGUCAAGAUUGACGCUCAUGCACGAAAGCGUGGGGAGCAAACAGGAUUAGAAACCCUAGUAGUCCCAUGA